AAAAAAAAAAAAAAAAGUUUUACAGUCAGAAGGAAAACAAAAGGAAUCUGGAUCUACACAAGGAAUGAAGAGUACUGGAAAGGUGAAAACUCCAAAGCUUAACAUUUUAACCACUCUAGGGAGGGAGGAUGGGAGGAAGAGAGCUGAGUGUGCACCAAGGAGCGGUAAGAUGCCAGACCUGUGAGUGAAGAAGCAUCUUGGAAGUGGACCCUAUAGCUCCAGGCACCGGCUGACACAUAGUCGGAGACAAACCACCCAGUCAAGUUCAACCCAAAUUCCUGACCCAAAAAAUCAUAAGCAAAAUAAAAUAUUUGUUUAAAGCCAC
Molecule: long non-coding RNA, 325 nt
Filed under: Pan troglodytes (chimpanzee)
Lineage: Eukaryota; Metazoa; Chordata; Mammalia; Primates; Hominidae
Description: long non-coding RNA NONPTRT004465
Source: RNAcentral